RNAcentral lists this ribosomal RNA (1363 nucleotides) under uncultured bacterium. RNAcentral's name for it is "bacterial SSU rRNA". It matches the Rfam family "Bacterial small subunit ribosomal RNA", at positions 28 to 1381 of the family's 1533-position model. The record is from RNAcentral.
AUUGAACGCUGGCGGCAGGCUUAACACAUGCAAGUCGAGCGGUAGCACAGGGGAGCUUGCUCCCUGGGUGACGAGCGGCGGACGGGUGAGUAAUGUCUGGGAAACUGCCUGAUGGAGGGGGAUAACUACUGGAAACGGUAGCUAAUACCGCAUAACGUCGCAAGACCAAAGAGGGGGACCUUCGGGCCUCUUGCCAUCAGAUGUGCCCAGAUGGGAUUAGCUAGUAGGUGGGGUAAUGGCUCACCUAGGCGACGAUCCCUAGCUGGUCUGAGAGGAUGACCAGCCACACUGGAACUGAGACACGGUCCAGACUCCUACGGGAGGCAGCAGUGGGGAAUAUUGCACAAUGGGCGCAAGCCUGAUGCAGCCAUGCCGCGUGUGUGAAGAAGGCCUUCGGGUUGUAAAGCACUUUCAGCGAGGAGGAAGGUGGCGAACUUAAUACGUUCAUCAAUUGACGUUACUCGCAGAAGAAGCACCGGCUAACUCCGUGCCAGCAGCCGCGGUAAUACGGAGGGUGCAAGCGUUAAUCGGAAUUACUGGGCGUAAAGCGCACGCAGGCGGUUUGUUAAGUCAGAUGUGAAAUCCCCGGGCUCAACCUGGGAACUGCAUUUGAAACUGGCAAGCUAGAGUCUCGUAGAGGGGGGUAGAAUUCCAGGUGUAGCGGUGAAAUGCGUAGAGAUCUGGAGGAAUACCGGUGGCGAAGGCGGCCCCCUGGACGAAGACUGACGCUCAGGUGCGAAAGCGUGGGAAGCAAACAGGAUUAGAUACCCUGGUAGUCCACGCUGUAAACGAUGUCGAUUUGGAGGUUGUGCCCUUGAGGCGUGGCUUCCGGAGCUAACGCGUUAAAUCGACCGCCUGGGGAGUACGGCCGCAAGGUUAAAACUCAAAUGAAUUGACGGGGGCCCGCACAAGCGGUGGAGCAUGUGGUUUAAUUCGAUGCAACGCGAAGAACCUUACCUACUCUUGACAUCCAGAGAACUUAGCAGAGAUGCUUUGGUGCCUUCGGGAACUCUGAGACAGGUGCUGCAUGGCUGUCGUCAGCUCGUGUUGUGAAAUGUUGGGUUAAGUCCCGCAACGAGCGCAACCCUUAUCCUUUGUUGCCAGCGGUUCGGCCGGGAACUCAAAGGAGACUGCCAGUGAUAAACUGGAGGAAGGUGGGGAUGACGUCAAGUCAUCAUGGCCCUUACGAGUAGGGCUACACACGUGCUACAAUGGCAUAUACAAAGAGAAGCGACCUCGCGAGAGCAAGCGGACCUCAUAAAGUAUGUCGUAGUCCGGAUUGGAGUCUGCAACUCGACUCCAUGAAGUCGGAAUCGCUAGUAAUCGUAGAUCAGAAUGCUACGGUGAAUACGUUCCCGGGCCU